Lontra canadensis (Northern American river otter) is the source of this 556-nucleotide long non-coding RNA. RefSeq lists it as uncharacterized. The transcript is spliced from 4 exons. The record is from RefSeq and is a predicted model, not a curated record. NCBI's taxonomy places the organism in Eukaryota, Metazoa, Chordata, Mammalia, Carnivora, Mustelidae.
GCCAGGCGCCCCAGAAACAAGCUGGCUUUGGUUGGGCUUGAACUCACGACCCUGAGAUCAAGAGUCUCAUGUUCUGCUGAACGGAGCCAGCCCAGCGCUCCAUCCCUGAAUUCAUCUCGGGAUGUCCAUUAAGAAAUCUGUCUGCGACGUCAACAGCACGAAAACCCUCCGCAGAUCAAAACCCUUCUCUAGCGUAAAGGUUACGCAAUUCACUUCGCACCUCGCGUUUGAACUCAACCUGGACUGCUCUGCUGGUCUUGGCGUGCGGCUGUGAGGGACGGAGAUGGAAGAGUUCUGGCUGGCGUGACCCGUGCAGAGAAGGGAGUUGCAGUUUUCUGACAUUAAAUAUUAACACUGGGGAUUAAUAAUGAAGGCUGACAGUUCCUUUCUCGGUAUUUCUGAGCGUGUCUCUCUCCCCAGCCUGCAAGGCCAGCAGGCCCAGGCCCUUCCCCUGCCCGAGCCAUGUGGCCGGAGGCCCCUGCUCUCUGAGGUCAGGAGAGCUUCCCUGAUGCCCCAGGUUCCAGCUGUGCUAGCCGCCAGGCCUACUGAACUCUGG